UUUGUACGGGAAGAACAAGGGGCACGUGUGCCCCUCUGACGGUACCGUAAGAAUAAGGAUCGGCUAACUCCGUGCCAGCAGCCGCGGUAAUACGGAGGAUCCGAGCGUUAUCCGGAAUCAUUGGGUUUAAAGGGUCCGUAGGCGGGCCAUUAAGUCAGGGGUGAAAGUCUGCGGCUCAACCGUAGAAUUGCCCUUGAUACUGGUGGUCUUGAGUUAUGGUGAAGUAACUAGAAUAUGUAGUGUAGCGGUGAAAUGCAUAGAUAUUACAUAGAAUACCGAUUGCGAAGGCAGGUUACUAACCAUAUACUGACGCUGAUGGACGAAAGCGUGGGGAGCGAACAGGAUUAGAUACCCUGGUAGUCCACGCCGUAAACGAUGGAUACUAGCUGUCCGGAUGCAAAUCUGGGCGGCCAAGCGAAAGUGAUAAGUAUCCCACCUGGGGAGUACGUCCGCAAGGAUGAAACUCAAAGGAAUUGACGGGGGCCCGCACAAGCGGUGGAGCAUGUGGUUUAAUUCGAUGAUACGCGAGGAACCUUACCAGGGCUUAAAUGUGGUCUGACAGCUUUAGAGAUAGAGCCUCCUUCGGGCAGAUCACAAGGUGCUGCAUGGUUGUCGUCAGCUCGUGCCGUGAGGUGUCAGGUUAAGUCCUAUAACGAGCGCAACCCCUGCCGUUAGUUGCCAGCAUGUAAAGAUGGGGACUCUAACGGGACUGCCGGUGCAAACCGCGAGGAAGGUGGGGA
This 740-nucleotide ribosomal RNA is filed under the name Arenibacter troitsensis. RNAcentral's name for it is "bacterial SSU rRNA". It matches the Rfam family "Bacterial small subunit ribosomal RNA", at positions 434 to 1179 of the family's 1533-position model. The record is from RNAcentral. Lineage: Bacteria; Pseudomonadati; Bacteroidota; Flavobacteriia; Flavobacteriales; Flavobacteriaceae.